Molecule: long non-coding RNA, 1632 nt
Filed under: Arachis ipaensis
Lineage: Eukaryota; Viridiplantae; Streptophyta; Magnoliopsida; Fabales; Fabaceae
Description: long non-coding RNA (AIPA_LNC002576)
Source: RNAcentral
UAAUAUAAAUUUUAAAAUAUCAUCCAAAUUAAAAGUACUACAUAAACUAGAAUGUUAUAAUCUCAUUCAAAUACAAACUCAAAAAUCAAAUAACAAAAACAACCAAUCAACCAUAAAAUACCAGCAUCCAAGUUUGUCAUCAAUUGUCAAAAUCCGCCAUAACUUGCCGCAGUUUUGCUUCCUUGAUACAUCAAUUACUUAGACCAUAAAAAUCAAGUGGUGCAGCAUAACAUAUACUACUACCACCACCCACUACCACUUUAAUCUAAAUCAGCAUCAAUCAUAUAUAAAUAUACAAUUAGAUUUCAUUUUUAUUGUGCAAAUACAACUACUCCUACUCUACCAGCACAAUAUAUAACUUGUGAGCAAAGAAAAAAAACGAGAUGAAAGUAUCUCUUAUCUCUGAGGUUCUUCUCAAAACCAUUUAUUAUUAGUACUAGAGUCAUCAACCCCACCACCAUCAUUAUUAUCAUAAUGUAAUACAUCAUGGCUCAUCAUUAUUAAUUAAUCGCCUCCAAAUCAAGCUUCUUUCUAAUACCUCUAUAUAUAAAUUAAUCUCUCACUUAUCUAAACCCUUGUGGCUUGCGAGACUUGUUUGUGGAUUUGCCUAACAGAACAAUCAAAGGAGAUCAGAGGCCAUGCAAAGCUUCAUGUGUUUUCUUUCUUCUCUUUUUUUCUGUCAUGUGAAUUUUCUGUUUGUGGAAUAAAGUGUGUUAGAUAUCAAGCUUAUGAUUUAUCCAUGCCUACAUUGUUAUAGCUUCAUCAAGAUUACCACAACUCUUGCAAUGAAUUUAAAAGCCUUGUUAUGAAUGCCAAGAAUGAAAUGAAUUGAGUAGGUUUAACAUGACAGGUUUAACAGGGCAGGAGUAGGUUUAUCAUGGCAGGUUUCCAUCUUCCACUCAAUGAACAAUUUAUUAAAUCAACAACAGCAAUCCAACCCAAUAAUCUCAACUCUCAAGUUCAUAACAAACAACAUCCAAAAUUAUUUAAAAUUAUUCACAAUUAUUCAACAAACAAUAAAAUCCAGUUCAGUAAACAAGGUAAAAUCAAAGAGCUACUCAAUCAAAGAGUUCACAGUUUAGCAGUUCAUCAUGUCACAAAAUCCAGUUCAGUUUAGCAGGAUCAGUUCAGAGUUCACAGUUUCAGAGUUCAUCAUGUCACAAAAUCAAAGAGCUACUCAAUGAACAGAGUUCACAGUAUCAGAGUUCAUAGUAUCAGAGUUCAUCAUGCAACAGUUAUUCAAUGAUUCAAUCAAACAAUCAUAAGUUCAUAACUAAAAAAAAUUACCUGGAACUCUGGAAGCUCAAAGGCACCUUCAAGGCUUCAACUGAACAUGCAAUAGGGAGAGUGGGAGACAGCGACGCCGAGUGAACCAAGCAGUGGUGGAGCACCUUCGAAGGGACGACGGCUGCUACGCGAUGGAGGUGGCUGUUCCAAGGAACGACGGCUGCUGCGCGACGGAGGUGACUGGUCGAAGGAGGUGACUGCGCGACGGAGGUGACUGCUUGACGGAGGUGACUGCUCGACGGAGGUGACUGCGCGACGGAGGUGACUGCUCGACAACGAACCCGUGUGGCCAUGUGAGACUGUGAGACUGUGAUGGCGUUAUCUGAUUCUGAAGCUCGAUGAGAA